RNAcentral lists this transfer RNA (75 nucleotides) under Rhodoferax fermentans. RNAcentral's name for it is "tRNA-Arg". It matches the Rfam family "tRNA". Rfam says of the family: Transfer RNA (tRNA) molecules are approximately 80 nucleotides in length. Their secondary structure includes four short double-helical elements and three loops (D, anti-codon, and T loops). RNAcentral also lists the same sequence under 5 other names. The record is from RNAcentral. Lineage: Bacteria; Pseudomonadati; Pseudomonadota; Betaproteobacteria; Burkholderiales; Comamonadaceae.
CUCGCCAUAGUUCAAUGGAUAGAACGAGUGCCUCCUAAGUGCUAGAUGCAGGUUCGAUUCCUGCUGGCGGGACCA